Sinocyclocheilus grahami is the source of this 7206-nucleotide RNA transcript. It is a transcript of the gene named proteasome activator subunit 4a, with no coding region annotated. The transcript has 49 exons. Lineage: Eukaryota; Metazoa; Chordata; Actinopteri; Cypriniformes; Cyprinidae. The record is from RefSeq and is a predicted model, not a curated record.
UCCUGGAUCUGUUAUUUUGGACAUGGUUAGGUGGAAGUGACGCAGGGUGAGGAGGGUGGAGCUGCGGCAUGUGUGUUUGGCUGGUUACAGAUGAAUGGAAACGGAUACAUGGAGCGCUCGUAUAGAGAUAAGAUGCAUGACAGCAAGCGGGUCUGCUUAAAAGAAGUCAUCAUUAUCCUAGAGAGUUCAGAAACGACAGUGCGCGUCUUUCAGCAAGAAAAUAGCACGACUGUAUUAUGGUUUUGACAUUUAUAGUGGUUUUAUAAUUGAUCAUUUACUUCUCUUACCAUCUCAGAAGCUCAUCACUGUUUGGAAUAGUUUUGUUCAUGACUGUCUCUAAUAUAAUCGAAGUGGAGGAGCCACAUUUGGGGGACUGUAAUAUGAAAAAAGAAGCAACCGAAUUUUUAGGGUUUGUUCCGCAAAAAGAUAUUGUUUACAACGAACUUUUACCUUACAAGGACAAACUAGACGAAGAGUCCAAUGAAUUUUUGGCACAGAUCAAAGGAAACCUCGGCAGAGCCGUCCAACUUCGAGAGAUAUGGCCAGGUGUCUUGUUUUGGACGAGGAAACUUUCCACAUAUAUGCGACUGUAUGGAAGGAAGUUCAGCAAAGAGGACCAUGUGCACUUUGUCAAGCUGCUGUAUGAGCUGGUCACCAUCCCCAAACUGGAGAUCAGUAUGAUGCAGUGCUUCGCCCGUCUCCUCAUCACCCUGCUGAAGAAGAAGGAGCUGCUUUCAAGAGAGGACUUAGAAUUGCCAUGGCGACCACUUUAUGAGUUGCAGGACAGGAUCCUGUACUCAAAGACAGAGCACCUCGGCCUGAACUGGUUUCCCAGUUCUCUGCGGCCACACUCUUCCUCUAAGCACAUAAUUGUUAAACUUGCUCAGAGGUGCUCAGUGGAAGCAGUUCUGAAGGCUUUAAUUAAGAACUGCAGACCAUAUUUCCCAGAAUCAGCCACACAGGAGAUGCUGGAAGAGUGGAGGCCUCUGAUGUGCCCAUUUGACGUGACCAUGCAGAAGGCGAUGGGAUAUUUUGAGCUCUUCCUGCCCACCACUCUCCCUCCAGAGCUUCAUGAUAAGGGCUUUAAACUUUGGUUUGAUGAGUUGAUAAGCCUGUGGGUGUCGGUACAGAACCUUCCAAGCUGGGAAGUGAAUCUUGUCAGCCUUUUUGCACGACUGGCAAAUGACAACAUUGGUUACAUAGAUUGGGACCCUUAUAUACCGAAGAUCUUCACUAGGAUCUUAAGGAGUCUUAAUCUUCCUGUAGGAUCCAGUCAGAUGCUGGUUUCCAGAUAUCUGACAAAUGCCUAUGACAUCAGUCAUGUGGUCAUCUGGAUUUCUGCUUUGCUGGGAGGGCCCAGCAAGCAGACCCAGACCCAGCUCAGUGGCCUUUUCAACAGUAUUGCCUCGUUUUUCCACCCUUCUAACCACGGCCGCUGGCUGAUGAAACUCAUGAAGCUCGUUCAGCGAUUACCUGCCAGUGUUGUGAAACGUCUGCAUCGAGAACGUUACCGGACGCCAACGUGGCUGACUCCUGUUCCUGAGAGCCACCUUCUCAGUGAGCAGGACAUCACAGACUUUGUGGAAAGUAUGAAGCAGCCUGUCCUGCUGGCGAUGUUUAGCAAAACUGGCAGCCUGGAUGCUGCCCAGGCCCUGCAAAACCUUGCCCUGCUCAGACCUGAUCUAGUCAUUCCUCCAGUGCUGGAGAAGACAUAUCCUGCCAUGGAGACCCUCACUGAGCCUCACCAGCUGACCGCCACUCUAAGCUGUAUGAUCGGUGUGGCGCGGAGCCUGGUGGCCGGCGGCCAGAGGUUUCCAGAGGGCCCCACACACAUGCUGCCUCUCCUCAUGAGGGCUCUGCCUGGGGUUGACCCCAAUGACUUCAGCAAGUGCAUGAUAACAUUCCAAUUUUUAGCGACUUUUGUUACUCUUGUGCCAUUGGUGGACUGUUCAGCUGCUGUUCAGACAAGAAAUGACCUCACACAGGUGGAAAAAGUGUUGUGUUCAGCCUCAGCAGAGUUUGAGGACUUUGUUCUUCAGUUUAUUGAUAGGUGUUUUGCACUGAUUGACACGAGUACACUGGAACAAACCCGGGAGGAGAUGGAGACAGAGAAAAUGACUCAUCUGGAGAGUCUGGUGGAGCUGGGUCUGUCCUCCACAUUCAGCACUAUCCUCACACAAUGCUCUAUGGAAAUAUUCCAGGUGGCUCUGGAAAAAGUCUUUAACUUUGCCACGACAAACAUUUUUGAGACUCACGUGGCUGGACGGAUGGUGGCGAACAUGUGCCGAGCUGCAACCAAGUGUCACCCAGCAGAGGCUCUGAAACUCUUUUUGCCCCACUGCUGUAAUGCCAUAUUUCAAAUCUCAGCCUAUGAAGAGGAAUUAAAUGAAGAGGAGCUGGAUAAAGAGCUGAUGUGGAACCUCCAGCUGUUGUCGGAGGUGACCCGUGUGGAUGGUGAUCAACUGUUACUCUACAGGUCUCAGCUGGUGCAGAUUCUUCAGUUAACUCUGCACCUGAAAUGUAAGCAGGGCUACAAUCUGGCCUGUAAGCUGCUCUAUCACAUCCUGCGCUCCAUGUCCCUCAUCUAUCCCAGAGAGUACUGCAGCAUGUCCGGAGGGGUCCAGCAGCACACUGACACAUACCUUCCAAUUAAGGACUGGGGUCGGCCUGGAGACCUGUUGAACCUGGGCAUCCAGUGGCACGUGCCCAGCACAGAAGAGAAGGAGUUUGUUUUUUACUUGCUGGAUCUGUUGUUAAAACCUGAACUCCGGCAUCUGCAGAAACACACACAGGGAGAACAGGACAUCAGCAGGGAUGAUGUUCUACAGAGUCUGUCCAUUGUUCAUAACUGCUUUCUGGGAGCAAGCAGCCUUCUGCCUCCACUGAAUGGAGAACCUGUGCCGGAGAAGAUAAACAGUAUGAUUCAGCUAUGCGAGACAAACGUUUACACUGGAGUAGACUAUGACCUGUCUAGAGAGAACUACAGAGAGGACAUCUGUAAGGUGAUUAGACCUCUAUUACACCACACUCUAGAGCACUCAGAGGAUGACAUCAAAUCCCUCUUCUCAAUUAUAAAGAUUAUCAACGACCUGCUCCACUUUAAAGGUUCACACAAACAUGAGUUUGACUCACAUUGGAAAAGUUUCAGUCUCAUUAAGAAGUCCAUGGAGAACAAGCUUCAUGGCAGUAAACAGCACAUUAGAGCUCUACUCAUAGACAGAGUCAUGUUGCAACAUGAGUUAAGAAAUCUGACCAAGGAUGGAUGUUGCUACAGGAGUGUUCAUCAGGACUUGAUAAAUGACCUGCUUAGACUGUCCACCAGCAGGUACAGUCAGGUGAGGAGUAAAGCUCAGAACGUGCUGUUCACAGCACUGGGAACCUACAGCUUAUGCUGCAGAGACGUCAUCCCUGCGGUGCUGGAGUAUCUGGACCCAGACCGCACUGACGUCACCCAGCAGCAAUUCAAAGGUGCCUUGUACUGUCUGUUUGGGAACCACUCUGGGAUCUGUCUUGCUAACCUGCAGUACUGGGACUGCAUUGCUCUCACAUGGCCUGCCAUUUUGCGUUCUGGUAUGAGCCCCUCAAUGUCUCUAGAGGAGUCUUCAGUCGUCCGGCUCUUUGAUGAUUUGGCUGACAAAAUCCACCGCCAGUACGAGACCAUCGGAAUUGACUUUUCUAUCCCGGAGAGCUGUGUGGAGGUUGCUCUAAAAAUGAUGAAAUCCAGUAACCCAGAACCGACUCCAUGUGCCGCCUCUGAACAGGAGGAACUGGAGGGAAGAAAGAGACAGGAACAGAAAAACAAAGACUCAGUGCAGAAGUAUGAGAAGCUAGUGGUGGAUCUUUUGGACAGCCUUUACGACCGAAACUUGCCCUGGAAGUUUGAGCAGAUAGCUAUCGGCUUCCUCUCUCUGAUGCUGAGAGAUGACCACCCCUUGCCUUCCUCUGCAGUCCUCUUUUUCGUUGAGAGCCUGAACCAUGACUCGCUCUUAGUUCGCAAUGGUGCGAUAUCAGCAGUGAGUGGCAUUCUAAAGCAGCUCAAGAGACCUCACAAGAAAGUGGCAGUGAAUCCCUACGACAUAUCUGAGCUCAAAACCUCGCUGCAGUCAUGUGGUGGUAAAGCUCUAAGCUCUCUGCUGGCGGGAGACAGGCCUGAUAACCAGUGGCUGCGGUAUGACAGCAGCAGGUUGCCACGCUCCCAGCAGGACUGGAAUGAAUGCUGCUUCAUUGAGAAAACCCACUGGGGCUAUUCCACAUGGCCACGGAAGCUGCUGCUCUAUGCCCCUCUUGAGGAACAGCCCAAACAGGGCAAAACAAGAGAAGAGAUGAAUGAGAGUGAACAGAUCAUAUACGAUCAUUUCUCAGACCAGCAGUUCAUAGAUCAGUUCAUCCAGUAUUUGUCUCUGGAGGACAGAAAGGGGAAAGAUAAAUUCAGCCCACGACGAUUUUGCCUCUUUAAGGGUAUUUUUCGGAACUUUGAUGAUGCCUUCCUGCCUCUGCUGAAGCCUCAUAUGGAGCGUCUGGUUGCAGAUUCCCAUGAGAGCACCCAGCGCUGUGUGGCAGAGAUCAUCUCUGGACUCAUCAGGGGUUCCAAACACUGGAGCUACAGCAAGGUGGAAAAACUGUGGGCUCUGCUGUGUCCACUCCUCCGUAAAGCUCUUUCCAAUAUCACCAUUGAGACGUAUGCAGACUGGGGCACCUGUAUCGCCACUGCCUGCGAGAGCCGAGACCCACGAAAGCUGCACUGGCUGUUUGAGAUGCUGAUGGAAUCUCCGGUCACAGGAGAAGGAGGCUCAUUUGUGGAUGCCUGCCGUCUGUAUGUGCUGCAGGGAGGUCUUGCUCAGCAGGAAUGGAGAGUUCCAGAGUUGCUUCACAGGUUACUACAGUACCUAGAACCCAAACUCACUCAGGUCUACAAGAAUGUACGCGAACGCAUUGGCAGUGUGCUCACCUACAUCUUCAUGAUCGACGUGAACCUGCCACACACUCAGCCCACCACAUCGCCGCGCAUCGCAGAGUUCACGGAGCGUGUGCUGGCCAGGCUCAAGCCUUUAACAGAGGGCGAGGAGGAGAUCCAGAACCACGUGGUAGAGGAGAACACAGAGGGAGAUCAAGACGAGAGGACACAAGCCAUCAAAUUACUCAAAACUGUAUUGAAGUGGUUGAUGACCAGUGCUGGACGCUCCUUCUCUUCUGUGGUCCCAGAACAGCUUCGUCUCCUCCCUCUACUCUUUAAAAUUGCUCCUGUGGAGAAUGACGACAGCUAUGAUGAGAUGAAGAGAGAUGCUAAGACAUGUUUGUCUCUCAUGUCCCAGGGACUGCUGUACUCCGAACAGAUCCCACAAGUCCUCAGUGCACUUGAGGAGAUUUCAAGGAGCAGCUCAUGGCACGCACGUUACACCGUUCUCACCUUCCUGCAGAUAAUGGUUUUCUACAAUCUUUUCACCUUCCUCAGCGAUACCAAGGCCGUCAGUGACGUGAGAGCACUAGUACUGAGCCUGCUGGAGGAUGAACAACUUGAGGUGAGGGAGAUGGCAGCCACCACUUUAAGUGGAUUCCUGCAGUGUAAUUUUCUCUGCAUUGACGAACCCAUGCAGGCCCAUUUUGAGGCCCUGAGCAAAACCCGUCUGCCCAAGCGCAAGAGGAGAGAGCUGGGCUCAGUGGUGGACACGAUCCCUUCUGCUGACCUGGUGCGGCGGCAUGCAGGUGUAUUGGGUCUGAGUGCCUGCAUCCUGUCCAGCCCGUAUGAUGUGCCCACGUGGAUGCCCCAGAUCCUCAUGGACCUGAGUGCCCACCUCAACGACACACAGCCUAUAGAGAUGAGUGUGAAGAAAACCCUGUCGGAUUUCCGUCGCACUCAUCAUGAUAACUGGCAGGAACACAAGCAGAAGUUCACAGAUGACCAGCUGCUGGUGCUCACAGAUCUGCUGGUCUCCCCCUGUUACUACGCUUAGAAUGAUGUCACUGUCUGGUGAAGGGAAAAGGCAAAGCUAACUGAAACCUGAAUUUUUGUUUGCUCUGAAUGUCUGGGAUUGUUUGUAGAGGACAGAAAAUUAAAACGCCGUUUAUGUAGCAAUAGAUGCAAUCAUCUAGUUAUGAGAUAACUAGAAUAUUUUACUAAACUCUAUUUUUAUUAUUAUUUUUAAAUACACUUAAUAUUUAAGGGGAACUUUAUUGCAGGUAUCGCUGACCUGCAUCUAUAAUGUUCUUGUAUAGUUUUCAGUUUCCGCUUGUUUGAGUGCAGUAUGGAUUGUUAUAGCCCAAUAUAAAGCAGUUUUCUGCACUGCAUUUAUUGUAAUACUAGCAUUUUACAAUUUUAGCAGUAAUCUGUUUGAAAUGUGUACACAUGUAAUGUUGGUAAAUGUUACAUGUGUAUGAGGUAAAAGUACCCAUUUCUUUUCUUUCUUUUUUUUAUAGUAGCACUGUACAUUUCCUCCUGCCUCAUAGAGACAGUGUGCAUUUUGUUGUUAUGUGUACAGUUAUGUAAGCCUACAUAAAUGAAAGAGUGUAAGAAUAUAUCAUUUGGUGAUGCUAUUCUUCAGUUGUCUUGCCAAUACAGCUGAACUAAACUAAAAAAUUCAGUAUAAUCACAAUGGAUGGUGUUACAAAAUAGUAGUCCAUGAGAUUUCCUGCACUUCAUGCAUCUUUUUCUCUAUUAGUAUUUUUGCAGUCAAUAAAUGUUUAUUAUUUAUUAAUUUAUUCAAUUGAAAAUUGUAGUUGACCUUUGCAUUUAGUUUAGUGUUUGCAGUUUUUGCUUUAAGCCAGGUGUUCUCAUAUCCUGGUGUCAGAAGAUUUUUAAAGGAACCGUCAGCAAAUGCGGAGACAGUGUCAUUGAGACUUGCAGUUAGCAAGCAUUGCUGAACCUAUCAGUAGCAACAGUUGUAGACCAUAUAUUAAUGCAGUGGUUUGUUGGCAAGCUUAACAUUUUAAAUAUAAUUCACACUGUGUCAAAAUCAUGUCAUAAGCCAAUGUGUAGUUCAACUUUGGUUGGUAAACUAAAAGACAGUAAUGCUGUAAUGCUAUGCAAAUGCUUGACUGAUUGAUUACUUUUUUCUUGAUAUUCCUUUUACAAAUAUUUGACAAAAGUCAAGGGAUGUUUGUAAUAAAGUGUGACGAAGUAUGCAGGUAAAAUCUUUUUUGUGCUUCUCCCAUGUUGCUACCGACAUAUAGCAAUUAGUUUGAUGUAAUAUAAACGUUAAAUAUACAUUC